Molecule: small nucleolar RNA, 138 nt
Filed under: Ornithorhynchus anatinus (platypus)
Lineage: Eukaryota; Metazoa; Chordata; Mammalia; Monotremata; Ornithorhynchidae
Source: RNAcentral
UACCACUCAGGGUCACACCUGGAGAGUUUCCAGCACUCUACCAGUCUCGACUAUGGGAGGGAGAAUCAAGCAGAGGUCUACCCAUUCCAUUCCUAGCUUGGGCAGUGGCUAGCGAGUGGAAGGCAAUCUGCUACAAGU